This 460-nucleotide ribosomal RNA is filed under the name uncultured bacterium. Its description in RNAcentral is "partial 16S ribosomal RNA". It matches the Rfam family "Bacterial small subunit ribosomal RNA", at positions 338 to 795 of the family's 1533-position model. The record is from RNAcentral.
CCUACGGGAGGCAGCAGUGAGGAAUAUUGGUCAAUGGACGAGAGUCUGAACCAGCCAAGUAGCGUGAAGGAUGACUGCCCUAUGGGUUGUAAACUUCUUUUAUAUGGGAAUAAAACGUUCCACGUGUGGGAUUUUGUAUGUACCAUAUGAAUAAGGAUCGGCUAACUCCGUGCCAGCAGCCGCGGUAAUACGGAGGAUCCGAGCGUUAUCCGGAUUUAUUGGGUUUAAAGGGAGCGUAGGUGGAUUGUUAAGUCAGUUGUGAAAGUUUGCGGCUCAACCGUAAAAGUGCAGUUGAAACUGGCAGUCUUGAGUACAGUAGAGGUGGGCGGAAUUCGUGGUGUAGCGGUGAAAUGCUUAGAUAUCACGAAGAACUCCGAUUGCGAAGGCAGUUCACUGGACUGCAACUGACACUGAGGCUCGAAAGUGUGGGUAUCAAACAGGAUUAGAUACCCGUGUAGUC